Zingiber officinale is the source of this 671-nucleotide long non-coding RNA. RefSeq lists it as uncharacterized. NCBI's taxonomy places the organism in Eukaryota, Viridiplantae, Streptophyta, Magnoliopsida, Zingiberales, Zingiberaceae. The transcript is spliced from 3 exons. The record is from RefSeq and is a predicted model, not a curated record.
UCCUUUCUCUCUUUUUUUUCGGAUAGCCCAACCCUAAGCCAUCCAAGGCACUUCUUCACCCGAGUCUCUUCUCCACACGAGCAUCUUCUCUGCCCUUCUUCUUCCCCAUCCGUCAGAGCCUCCUCCCUUCUUCUUCUUCUCUUCCUCUCAGUCGUGCCCCCUUUCUUCUCCCCCUUCUUCUUGGCGCCUAUUUCUCCUCCUCCUCCCUGCUCAGUUGUCCGAGCUGUUGCCAUCAAAGCCACUUCUCCCCUUCCUCCUCCUCCCUUUCUUCUCCCCCCUUACCCUUCUCUUCCUCCUCCCAACCUAAGCUUCCUCCUCCCAACUGAAGCUGCUUCUCCCCAUUCCUCCUCCUCCUCCUCCUCCCUUUCUUCUCGCCUCUUACCCUUCUCUUCCUCCUCCCUACCUAAGCUUCCUCUUCCCAACUGAAGCUGUUGUCAUCGAAAGAAACUAUAAUAUGCAUUGGUAUCACCUCAAUAAAUAGGAAGAUCAUCAUCCUGAGACAGCUAAAGAAUAUUUUAACAUGAGGCACUUUAGAGAUGAAGAUGAACAAAGUGAAGAUGAUGACAGUGAACGCGAGACUGAAAUGGACUACAUAUAGACAAUUAUCCCAACUAAUUAGUGGACUGCAUUUACGAAUAAUUUAGCGCUCCAAAUGUUUAACAAUUGGGAAA